UACGUAGGGUGCGAGCGUUGUCCGGAAUUAUUGGGCGUAAAGAGCUCGUAGGCGGUCUGUCGCGUCGGAUGUGAAAGCCCGGGGCUUAACUCCGGGUCUGCAUUCGAUACGGGCAGACUAGAGUAUGGUAGGGGAGAUCGGAAUUCCUGGUGUAGCGGUGAAAUGCGCAGAUAUCAGGAGGAACACCGGUGGCGAAGGCGGCCACCUGGCACAUUACCGACGCUGAGACACGACAGCAUGGGGAGCGAACGGG
This 253-nucleotide ribosomal RNA is filed under the name uncultured prokaryote. RNAcentral describes it as "partial 16S ribosomal RNA". It matches the Rfam family "Bacterial small subunit ribosomal RNA", at positions 524 to 776 of the family's 1533-position model. The record is from RNAcentral.